CGUUAUUCCCCCUGCACCUGGACGGAUUCGCCUCCUCGCUUCUGAAAUGAGAGGGAAUAUUUUCACACACCUGGUCUAAAAGCUAACGUUGGAUGGAUAAUUUAACUUCUGUCAAGACGUUGAGUUCAGGAGGAGGAGGAGCAGGCGAGAGCACCAAAGUGGUCACAAAAUCGGUGACGACAACAACUCGACUGAUAUCACAAAGUGAACAGACUGAAGGAGGGUCUGGUGGAGGGGGCUUCAGUAGCUCCUAUGGGGGGUCCGGAGCCACCAAGACCUCCGGGGGUAUCAUCGUCACCACAUUAGGAGCCUCCUCAGCUUCUGGUGGAGGGGGCUCGGCAG
This is a long non-coding RNA of Salarias fasciatus (jewelled blenny), 342 nucleotides long. RefSeq lists it as uncharacterized. The transcript has 4 exons. Lineage: Eukaryota; Metazoa; Chordata; Actinopteri; Blenniiformes; Blenniidae. The record is from RefSeq and is a predicted model, not a curated record.